RNAcentral lists this ribosomal RNA (127 nucleotides) under Morganella morganii. Its description in RNAcentral is "partial 16S ribosomal RNA". It matches the Rfam family "Bacterial small subunit ribosomal RNA", at positions 1410 to 1533 of the family's 1533-position model. The record is from RNAcentral. Lineage: Bacteria; Pseudomonadati; Pseudomonadota; Gammaproteobacteria; Enterobacterales; Morganellaceae.
GUGGGUUGCAAAAGAAGUAGGUAGCUUAACCUCCGGGAGGGCGCUUACCACUUUGUGAUUCAUGACUGGGGUGAAGUCGUAACAAGGUAACCGUAGGGGAACCUGCGGUUGGAUCACCUCCUUACCU